Long non-coding RNA from Magnolia sinica, 407 nucleotides. RefSeq lists it as uncharacterized. The transcript is spliced from 5 exons. The record is from RefSeq and is a predicted model, not a curated record. NCBI's taxonomy places the organism in Eukaryota, Viridiplantae, Streptophyta, Magnoliopsida, Magnoliales, Magnoliaceae.
AUUUGAACUGUCUGGCCAACUUAGUUAUUUAAUCUUACUUGUGCUUUAACUGCAGCUUGAUUGGCUACAAGAAGAGUAUGAGAUUGUUUGUGAGUUGCUUUAUUACACGAAAGAGCAAUGGGCGAUAGCAGAUGCUGUAGCUCAGAAAUAUGAAAAUCAGUCUACUUUUGAAUCCACUGGCCAAACUAAGGAUGCGAAAGAUGAAGAAAUCAUUGCUCUUCGGGAGGAAGUUGAGUAUUGGAAAGACCAGCUGGUGAUUGUAUUGCAACAGCUCAAAGAAAAAGAGAACGAAGCACAAUCUCUUCGAUCAAACAUGCGUAGAUUUUUCCUAAGUGAGGAAGAAAUGGAAGAAGUUGUUGCUAAGAGGUGUUGGCUUUCUCGUUAUUGGGGUCUAGCUCUUCAUUAUG